AAUUCAUCGGCAUAUCACUGGAUAGAAAUUAUUAAUGGAAGGUUUCCUAUUCUCCAAACUCUAAGGCCUAAAGUGUCUACAAUUUUAAACUGUAAAGGCGUUAUUUCGAAAAGCACGGGGGUUCGAGAGAUUGGUAGCACGAUACUGGCCAACCGAAGCUGCUCUCCCCUCCGUUUCGCUCGAGAGGCGCUCGCGCGCUAAUGCGCGUACGCAGAUCCUCGGGACGUGGCAACGUCGCCAACGACCACGUCGUCACGGUCACCUGACUUUUCGUGGAAACGCGAUGCUGCCGUCCGCGCGAAUAAGGUAUGCGACGAAUGCUGGCAGCGUGCACUGGCUGACUUACCAUGUACAAGUUCCAUUUUGACUCUCUCUCGAGAGCCUCGAUGGAACGAUAAAUCCGAGGAUCGAUGGAGGCUCGAUGGAACAAGUAAACGAACAUCGGGGAAGGAUUCCGUGUUGAAGCCGUAACGGGGAAAGUACGGGGGAAAAUCUUGUUGGUCGUACGACGGUGUACGACGACGGGGCGCCACGAUUCUUGGAGCCUGGAGCACGUACGGAGACCGGAAUAACCGAGAGACACAGGCCGUCUACGUCUAUCACGUGGCCUGUUAAAAUAAGUGCGUGGUAGCGACAGCGUGCAGGAACGUUCCGAGUUUCGACGAGUGCCACCAUUCUUGAUAUGGAUUACGACGAUCGAAACGCGUCAAUGUGCCAGCGAACAAUAACACGAUAACGAUAACCGAGCUCCCGUCGAUCGAUUAUCGGUCAGUUUAUUUCCACGAACGCGAUAUUUCGUGACGACCGAUAUCGACAUGUACGUAAUUGUAUUGCACGUUGUACCGUAGCAGAGUACAGGCUUCUCUCGCGCCUUCGCUCAGAAACGCCAAUAAUGAUUGGUCACUCGACAAAAAAAAAAAAAAAAAAAAACAAAGAAUACAAAAUACUAAUUAGGUUACGGUUGUGCACGCCGAUACGUUGCUUUCGUUGUCAGUGACGAAAGUUCUUCGAACGAGUUUAUUCCACCGUUUCAGUUUCUUCGAACAGUAUUGUAUACACGUACAUGUAUGCAUACGGACGCCCGUUUCGAAAAUUCUACCGAUUUAUGGACACUCAUUGUUGAAAGAACAAUUCGAACAAGAAAAUAAAUUUAAUCGUGUCGUUCU
Frieseomelitta varia is the source of this 1166-nucleotide long non-coding RNA. RefSeq lists it as uncharacterized. The record is from RefSeq and is a predicted model, not a curated record. NCBI's taxonomy places the organism in Eukaryota, Metazoa, Arthropoda, Insecta, Hymenoptera, Apidae. The transcript has 2 exons.